UAAACCUUCGAAUCGGAGGAU
This 21-nucleotide small nuclear RNA is filed under the name Arabidopsis thaliana (thale cress). RNAcentral describes it as "snRNA_06697". Lineage: Eukaryota; Viridiplantae; Streptophyta; Magnoliopsida; Brassicales; Brassicaceae. The record is from RNAcentral.